GUGAGGGUUAGGGAGAGGUUUCCCCCUCCCCCUGGUGUUCUUAGUAAGCCUGGAAGCUAAUCACUAAGAGUAUCACCAGUAUGAUGACGUGCUUCAUCAUAACCCUUUCCUUAUUUAAAAGCCCUCUUCUCCGGGAGAGGGUUC
This 144-nucleotide non-coding RNA is filed under the name Escherichia coli. RNAcentral describes it as "SibA sRNA, antisense regulator of toxic IbsA protein". The stretch from base 1 to 115 matches the Rfam family "Short Intergenic Abundant RNA", at positions 35 to 147 of the family's 147-position model. Rfam says of the family: This family contains multiple ncRNA from E. coli that were identified in a large scale screen of E. coli, were they were called candidates 43,55 and 61. These RNAs have also been identified by other groups and called QUAD RNAs. Lineage: Bacteria; Pseudomonadati; Pseudomonadota; Gammaproteobacteria; Enterobacterales; Enterobacteriaceae. The record is from RNAcentral. RNAcentral also lists the same sequence under 1 other name.